UGUUAAUUAGGUAGCCAAAGGAGGCUUUC
This 29-nucleotide non-coding RNA is filed under the name Mus musculus (house mouse). The record is from RNAcentral. Lineage: Eukaryota; Metazoa; Chordata; Mammalia; Rodentia; Muridae.